This 89-nucleotide transfer RNA is filed under the name [Clostridium] clostridioforme CM201. Its description in RNAcentral is "tRNA-Ser". It matches the Rfam family "tRNA". From Rfam's summary of the family: Transfer RNA (tRNA) molecules are approximately 80 nucleotides in length. Their secondary structure includes four short double-helical elements and three loops (D, anti-codon, and T loops). Further hydrogen bonds mediate the characteristic L-shaped molecular structure. tRNAs have two regions of fundamental functional importance: the anti-codon, which is responsible for specific mRNA codon recognition, and the 3' end, to which the tRNAs corresponding amino acid is attached (by aminoacyl-tRNA synthetases). tRNAs cope with the degeneracy of the genetic code in two manners: having more than one tRNA (with a specific anti-codon) for a particular amino acid; and 'wobble' base-pairing, i.e. permitting non-standard base-pairing at the 3rd anti-codon position. The record is from RNAcentral. Lineage: Bacteria; Bacillati; Bacillota; Clostridia; Lachnospirales; Lachnospiraceae.
GGAGGAGUACCCAAGUGGCUGAAGGGUCCGGCUUCGAACACCAGUAGGUCGGCAGCACCGGCGCGAGGGUUCAAAUCCCUCCUCCUCCG